RNAcentral lists this unclassified non-coding RNA (304 nucleotides) under plant metagenome. RNAcentral describes it as "partial contains 5.8S ribosomal RNA, internal transcribed spacer 2, and large subunit ribosomal RNA". The stretch from base 1 to 105 matches the Rfam family "5.8S ribosomal RNA", at positions 50 to 154 of the family's 154-position model. The record is from RNAcentral.
GAAAUGCGAUAAGUAAUGUGAAUUGCAGAAUUCAGUGAAUCAUCGAAUCUUUGAACGCACAUUGCGCCCGCCAGUAUUCUGGCGGGCAUGCCUGUUCGAGCGUCAUUUCAACCAUCAAGCCCCCCGGCUUGUGUUGGGGACCUGCGGCUGCCGCAGGCCCUGAAAAGCAGUGGCGGGCUCGCUGUCACACCGAGCGUAGUAGCAUACAUCUCGCUCUGGGCGUGCUGCGGGUUCCGGCCGUUUAACCACCUUCGUAACCCAAGGUUGACCUCGGAUCAGGUAGGAAGACCCGCUGAACUUAAGC